UUCCGUGAUGAUCUCCUGAUAGGGACAUCUUAUGCACUCGCAUAUGAUUCGAACUGGGAGCUAGUUUUUUAGUAGAUGCUUCGCACCUCUGACC
Molecule: small nucleolar RNA, 94 nt
Filed under: Cyphellophora europaea CBS 101466
Lineage: Eukaryota; Fungi; Ascomycota; Eurotiomycetes; Chaetothyriales; Cyphellophoraceae
Description: A. fumigatus snoRNA Afu_335
Rfam family: A. fumigatus snoRNA Afu_335
Source: Rfam by way of RNAcentral